UGAGUAACCUGCCCUUAACUCUGGGAUAAGCCUGGGAAACUGGGUCUAAUACCGGAUAUGACUCCUCAUCGCAUGGUGGGGGGUGGAAAGCUUUUUGUGGUUUUGGAUGGACUCGCGGCCUAUCAGCUUGUUGGUGAGGUAAUGGCCCACCAAGGCGACGACGGGUAGCCGGCCUGAGAGGGUGACCGGCCACACUGGGACUGAGACACGGCCCAGACCUCCUACGGGAGGCAG
RNAcentral lists this ribosomal RNA (234 nucleotides) under uncultured bacterium. Its description in RNAcentral is "partial 16S ribosomal RNA". It matches the Rfam family "Bacterial small subunit ribosomal RNA", at positions 118 to 351 of the family's 1533-position model. The record is from RNAcentral.